RNAcentral lists this long non-coding RNA (341 nucleotides) under Androctonus crassicauda. Lineage: Eukaryota; Metazoa; Arthropoda; Arachnida; Scorpiones; Buthidae. The record is from RNAcentral.
CUUUUUUGGAAACCCUAAAUACAACUGCAAUAAAUUGAUUAUGACCCACAAAAUUGUAUUUGUAAAAUUCUAUUGUUUGUCCCUGCCAUGAUCAGCAAAUGCUGUCCAUGUAAUGCAGGAGAUUAAAAGUGUUUUGGUACUUCUACUGUUUUAUUGCUACCACUCCUUUCCCACACUUCCUGGUAUGGUGCAUCCUUUUCCAUACCAAUAUCACACUUCCUGGAAUGUUCUUUCUUCCUUAUCACACUCCAGGAAGUAUGAUAUUGGGGGUGAGAAUCAACCAUCAAGAGUCCAAUUAGAGCAAAGUAAAGAAUAUUAUAGCUGUUUAUGUAAGAGAGGAG